This is a long non-coding RNA of Ictalurus punctatus (channel catfish), 499 nucleotides long. Lineage: Eukaryota; Metazoa; Chordata; Actinopteri; Siluriformes; Ictaluridae. The record is from Ensembl.
CUCUGAAGCGCUGAAACACUAACUCAUUUCCGGGUUUUGGCGUUACAAAAUGACGUCAUCCCUGCGCCAGUCUAUGGUGACUGGCUGUAAGUUUAGGAAACGCUUGAUUUGAUCUGCAGCGGAGUUUUCUGUACAUCUUCUACUUGCAGGCAUUCUGACCAAGACUCAGGAAAUGCCCAACAGGUUUCUCUUGCUGUGUGUGACUAUGAGGAGGAGAAAUCUGCUGAAGUUCUGACUUACACAACAGUGAUUAUUUACAGCAAUGCCACCAGCUCUAAUGAUGCAGUUCCAAGCAUUAAUGAUGAAGUCUCAUGUGACUAUACUUCAAUUUUCUGGAAAGAUGCAGUGAAGACACGUCUAUCAGAGUUCUGGUAGUCAUGAAGUACAGCACUCUGGACAAAACGUUUGAUUCUCUUUAUUCUUCAAAGCUCCAAUCCCAUAGUUUCUGCCUACUUAGAUUCUGAGCUAAUUUGCAUGAUUGCAUAAUUUCACUGUGUGU